RNAcentral lists this ribosomal RNA (465 nucleotides) under uncultured bacterium. RNAcentral describes it as "partial 16S ribosomal RNA". It matches the Rfam family "Bacterial small subunit ribosomal RNA", at positions 338 to 795 of the family's 1533-position model. The record is from RNAcentral.
CCUACGGGUGGCAGCAGUGGGGAAUAUUGCGCAAUGGGCGAAAGCCUGACGCAGCGACGCCGCGUGAGGGAUGAAGGUCUUCGGAUCGUAAACCUCUGUCAGCAGGGAAGAACGGUCACUGUGCUAAUCAGCAGUGAAUUGACGGUACCUGCAAAGGAAGCACCGGCUAACUCCGUGCCAGCAGCCGCGGUAAUACGGAGGGUGCGAGCGUUAAUCGGAAUUACUGGGCGUAAAGCGCUCGUAGGCGGUAUGUCAAGUCAAGGGUGAAAUCCCCGGGCUCAACGUGGGAACUGCCUGUGAAACUGGCAGACUGGAGUGUGUGAGAGGAUAGUGGAAUUCCAGGUGUAGGAGUGAAAUCCGUAGAUAUCAGGAGGAACAUCAGUGGCGAAGGCGACUAUCUGGCACAUAACUGACGCUGAGGAGCGAAAGCGUGGGUAGCAAACAGGAUUAGAUACCCGUGUAGUC